This 413-nucleotide ribosomal RNA is filed under the name uncultured Methanomicrobiaceae archaeon. RNAcentral describes it as "bacterial SSU rRNA". It matches the Rfam family "Archaeal small subunit ribosomal RNA", at positions 330 to 747 of the family's 1478-position model. Lineage: Archaea; Methanobacteriati; Methanobacteriota; Methanomicrobia; Methanomicrobiales; Methanomicrobiaceae. The record is from RNAcentral.
GUGCAGCAGGCGCGAAAACUUUACAAUGCGGGUAACCGUGAUAAGGGAACCUCGAGUGCCUGUAUAUGCAGGCUGUCCAGGUGUCUAAAACACACCUGAAGAAAGGGCCGGGCAAGACCGGUGCCAGCCGCCGCGGUAAUACCGGCGGCUCGAGUGGUGGCCACUUUUAUUGGGCUUAAAGCGUUCGUAGCUGGGUUGUUAAGUCUCUUGGGAAACCUGACGGCUUAACCGUCAGGCGUCUAAGAGAUACUGGUAAUCUUGGAACCGGGAGAGGUGAGGGGUACUUCGGGGGUAGGAGUGAAAUCCUGUAAUCCUCGAGGGACCACCUGUGGCGAAGGCGCCUCACCAGAACGGCUUCGACAGUGAGGGACGAAAGCUGGGGGAGCAAACCGGAUUAGAUACCCGUGUAGUCC